CUUUCUCUCGUUUCUGUUCUCUUCUUGCUAUCAAUUAAUUUCUUCUCUUCUUCUUCCUCUCAUUUCUGUUGUUGCCGUAUUUAUGAAUGUCGAACUUAUCAGAAUCGACGAACUCUUCAUUCUCACCUUGUGCUACCGCUCGAAUAUGUAAGUAUGGUGUUUCUCCAAAGUUGAAUACUUCUUGGACCUAAUUAUCCAGG
This 200-nucleotide long non-coding RNA is filed under the name Nicotiana benthamiana. RNAcentral describes it as "long non-coding RNA (NBEN_LNC039710)". The record is from RNAcentral. Lineage: Eukaryota; Viridiplantae; Streptophyta; Magnoliopsida; Solanales; Solanaceae.